RNAcentral lists this unclassified non-coding RNA (443 nucleotides) under Hevea brasiliensis (rubber tree). Lineage: Eukaryota; Viridiplantae; Streptophyta; Magnoliopsida; Malpighiales; Euphorbiaceae. The record is from RNAcentral.
UUGAUCUUGCCGAGCACGACACCGUCGGGGCUCAACAGGCCGGCCGCGCUGAUCUCCUUGAUGGUCGCCCAGCGCGCUGAACCAUAGGUCUGCGCUUCUUUCGCCUGGGCGCGCCAUACCGACAUGACAAUGGCGACCGCGACUGAGAUGAAGCCACCGGAAGCAGCAAUUAACGCGCCUUCGACGAAGAUCCCGGGCGCAUAGGCGUCAUAAGAGAACCACCACCAGAAGAAUGCCGGCGGCGGGUAAAGCGGCAAACCGCCGAUCUGGCUCCAUGGCGCGCCGAGUUGAACCUGAUAGGCGAGACGCCAGGCGGUCCACUGCGUCGCGCCCCAGGUUGUCGUGAGCACGAUCAGUGUCACGAUCAGAAUCUGGCCCCAAAGGAUUUUCGUCGCGGGCACCGGCUUGCUCCUGACGGAACGGUCAGCCGUCAAGGAAACCGU